UCUCUGGCUAGACAGCUCUGCU
RNAcentral lists this microRNA (22 nucleotides) under Eptesicus fuscus (big brown bat). Its description in RNAcentral is "efu-miR-9220". The record is from miRBase by way of RNAcentral. Lineage: Eukaryota; Metazoa; Chordata; Mammalia; Chiroptera; Vespertilionidae.